UACCAGUCUCAAUUCUGAUCGGUAAUAUUCCGCAUCUAAACUGGGCUAGCACAGAUCGCUCGUGUUUCGUAAGAUUUAGUUUUACAUAGUGCUCUAGUUCGAAGUUUGUUUUAAAGUUUAAGUAAGAUCGUAGCUUUGGCUUAUUUAUCAAGGACUCUCUCCAUAUAUCACUGUAAUAAGUUCGUACAAUUUGUUCAAAAGAUUUUAAAUCCACCAUUGUUCUACUUUCGUAAUAAUGUAACAUAUUAAGUUCAGUGAAAAUAUCUUUAGUGUCACUACACCAAUUGUUUGUGCAACGAUCAUAAUCCAUAUUGAACACCACUUUCGUUAAUCGGUCGUCUUCAAACGAUAAUAGCCUAUUCCAGUAUCGAAUAAUGUUUACCCAAUGCCGAAACUGACUUGGUAUCCAUCCAGUAUCCCCAUACAGUGCUAGAAUUGGUGCAAAUCUGUGAACGCC
Molecule: long non-coding RNA, 457 nt
Filed under: Mytilus galloprovincialis (Mediterranean mussel)
Lineage: Eukaryota; Metazoa; Mollusca; Bivalvia; Mytilida; Mytilidae
Source: RNAcentral